UACACCGUCGACACUGUUUUGAUAAAACGCGCACUGAACAUUCCAUUUUUAUAGUGUUUUUAAAUCAAUCGCUUUAUAUAUAGACCGGUACAUCAAUGAGUGCUAAUAUUUGCAAGGUCAUCCGCACCAGUGCAGAUGAACACUCUUGCUGCGAAGUGCACGUCCAAACAGAAAUGUGAAUAAAUGUCUGUGCGGCGGCGGCGGCGUCUUCCAGCCUUCUGAAGCUUUGACAAAUUCAAGUUUAUUACUUGAAGUUGCCCAGAGACCAAAUAAAGAAUACAAGAAAAAACUCAUUACAGGUCACCGUUCAAAGUGCCUCCAAGUGCUCCCCCGGGACUUUGCCGGAUUUCAUUGCGGCUGAAUGGCAAUGACGGACAAUAUGACUCCUAUUUUCCUUGUUCUCUUGCUGGCAAUCGAGCCUCUCGUAGCCCAGGAUACUGGUGAGUAAAAUA
This is a long non-coding RNA of Phymastichus coffea, 452 nucleotides long. RefSeq lists it as uncharacterized. The record is from RefSeq and is a predicted model, not a curated record. Lineage: Eukaryota; Metazoa; Arthropoda; Insecta; Hymenoptera; Eulophidae. The transcript is spliced from 3 exons.